GCUUGUCUCAAAGAUUAAGCCAUGCAUGUCUAAGUAUAAACGACUUUAUACUGUGAAACUGCGAAUGGCUCAUUAUAUCAGUUAUAGUUUAUUUGAUGGUCCUUGCUACUUGGAUAACCGUAGUAAUUCUAGAGCUAAUACAUGCAUUAAACCCCGACUUCUGGAAGGGGUGUAUUUAUUAGACUUAAGCCAAUAUUCCUUGUGUCUAUUGCGAUGAUUCAUAAUAACUGAUCGAAUCUCAAAUUUGAGAUAAAUCAUUCAAGUUUCUGCCCUAUCAGCUUUCGAUGGUAGUGUAUUGGACUACCAUGGCAGUAACGGGUAACGAAGAAUUAGGGUUCGAUUUCGGAGAGGGAGCAUGAGAAACGGCUACCACAUCUAAGGAAGGCAGCAGG
RNAcentral lists this ribosomal RNA (392 nucleotides) under uncultured Scuticociliatia. RNAcentral's name for it is "partial small subunit ribosomal RNA". It matches the Rfam family "Eukaryotic small subunit ribosomal RNA", at positions 30 to 432 of the family's 1831-position model. The record is from RNAcentral. Lineage: Eukaryota; Ciliophora; Oligohymenophorea.